This is a long non-coding RNA of Meriones unguiculatus (Mongolian gerbil), 379 nucleotides long. RefSeq lists it as uncharacterized. The record is from RefSeq and is a predicted model, not a curated record. Lineage: Eukaryota; Metazoa; Chordata; Mammalia; Rodentia; Muridae. The transcript is spliced from 3 exons.
GGCUGGAGAUGUGGGCUGGAGCUGGCUAAAGGUCAGUGUGGUGCAGAAAGCAGUAACUAUAGUCUACAUGGCUCUGGCGUAUCUCUUCCCUUUCUGCUGAGGCUCAACCACACUCAACUUUGGGCUACUCGUGAAUGAGGAGGCGUCUGGGGUUCUCCGGUUGCUCCUUUCUACUUCCCACUUGUGGUGACUAUUGACUGAGUUGACGCUGAUUUGCCACAUAGUUUGAACUGGGUGUGCCAACCACAGCUCGAGAGCUCUUCUGAGGAGCCAAUAAGUUGGCACUAGGAUUCAAACCACAUCCUGUUUUACCAUUGCACUUUCCAUGCUACGUGAGGAGAUAAGCCUCAGAAACAGAAGGCCCUGUCUCUGCUCCCCC